Molecule: long non-coding RNA, 567 nt
Filed under: Elaeis guineensis (African oil palm)
Lineage: Eukaryota; Viridiplantae; Streptophyta; Magnoliopsida; Arecales; Arecaceae
Description: long non-coding RNA (EGUI_LNC017842)
Source: RNAcentral
GCCGCUGGCAUACAUUGCCUCUCACAUGAAGACGAGAAGUGCUAGAUGCUGCAGGUACAAGAUCGCCAUAAGCACACAACGUCACUCGUGGGGGCUAACUUAUCAGACCCUCGAGAAGAUCUCGACGACUCCGAGGUGGGACUAACUUACAAGACUCCUACAGAGCCUGAGUUUUUCGAGAAGCAGAGGGAGACUCUUAGGAAACUUCUGGAAGGAUAAUUAAUUAGACCCUCAAAAAGCCAUCGAGUGCAAGAUGUCGCAGACCCAAGCUCACCACUGGCACACAUUGCCUCUCACGCGAAGACGAAAAAUACUAGAUGCUGCAAGCAUAAGAUCGCUGCAAGCACAAAAUGCCACUCGUGAGAGCUAACUUAUUAGACCCUCAAGAAGACCUCAACGACUCCGAGGCGGAAUUAACUUACAAGACCCCUGCAGAGCCCAAGUCAUUCGAGAAGUGAAGAGAGACCCUUAGGGAACCCCUGGAGGGAUAACUAAUCAGACCUCAAAAUGUCACUGAAGAACCUUAAAUGCCAUAGGCACAAAAUCGCCGCCGGCACACACUGCCUC